Molecule: ribosomal RNA, 233 nt
Filed under: uncultured Chrysiogenia bacterium
Lineage: Bacteria; Pseudomonadati; Chrysiogenota; Chrysiogenia
Description: uncultured Chrysiogenetes bacterium partial 16S ribosomal RNA
Rfam family: Bacterial small subunit ribosomal RNA
Source: RNAcentral
GAGUUUGAUCCUGGCUCAGGACGAACGCUGGCGGCGUGCUUAACACAUGCAAGUCAAGGGGUAGCAAAUACCACUGGCGCACGGGUGAGUAACGCGUAGAUUAUCUGCCCCUAUCUCCGGAAUAACAUCAAGAAAUUGGUGCUAAAAAACGGAUGAGGCACAAAUGUGUCAAAGGUAACGGAUAGGGAUGAGUCUGCGUCUAGAUUAGCUAGUUGGUGAGGUAACGGCUCACC